CCUGGUUCUGGGAUCCCUCCUUCGCGCUGUCCAGCGCUUCUGCUUCCUGGGGAGCGAGGCGCCCCUUCUCCCAGCCCUGGACCCUCGGCCCUCGCGACCCCAUUUUCUUUGCGGGGAGCCAGGCGCUGCCUCCUCCCAGACGGCUCGAGGCAUCCUUUCUCCCCGCUCUGUCCCCCACGUCCUCUGCAGGGACCCCCGAGGUACCCCCUCCCCAUUCUCCUGGCUGCGCCCCGCAAGGCCCAGGCCUCUAUGACACAGGUGGAGCAAAUCUGAGCCGGGAGACCCUCAGGGCCCCUUCUCAGCGCCCCUUUCCCAGGCGGGAACUCCCCUUUCCAGGCCGCCCUCCGUCCAUGGCUGGCGUGCUCUGAGCGCAGGGAUUCACUGUUCUUCCCCACCUGUCGCACCUGCCGGGACCCAGAAGACGCAGGGAGCCAAGAAACAACUCAGGACAGCCGCCCUGCCCUGGUGGGGCUGAGCGGGGCCUGGGCUGGGAGAACUGACCCCUAUCGUGCCCUAGCGGGGGUGUGGGGGCAGACCAGACCGGAAGCCAGGCUGCCCACCGCCCACCGGAAUCAGUGCCCCCAGAGGUGGACCAGACCCUGCAGGCCUCGGAGAAGGUGGCAGAGAGGCCUCUGGGCGGCCCUACCAGGAAAGAGCCAGCCCCAGCCCCACCCUACCCCUGGCUUUGUUAUAUCGCAUGCCCUUUUGACUAUCUGCCCCACCACUGGACGCUAAGCCGAGGAGGGUCGCACACUUGGCUCGCUUGCCCCACCCCCGAGGCACCUGCCCCUGGUGGGUACACAGUGCUUUUUGUUAAAGAACGGGAGAAGGCUCCGCUGGAAAAGUACCUUACACUCACACCGAGGGCUGCUGUUCCCGGGGAACUCUUUUGAGAAGAGCCCGCUGGGGAAAGGAGGCCUUACCCUGUCCUGGUUCACAGGAUGUGGCAGCAGGGACUGAAAGGGGCACCAGCAGCCGCAGGUGGUGCCCCCCAGGCUUGGGGAUGGGCCAAGUUCCGUCCUCAGAUGCAAGCUGGCCUUUGUCGCCUGCCUUUUCUGGCCACUCAUGCGAUGUUCCACCUGGCUGGCCUCAUGCCUGGCAGGUGGGGAAACCAGGAAAUACUUCAUACUUUAGGAAAAGCAUGGGAUCAGAAGAGGGACUGUAUCUGUGGACCACAGGACCCUGGCGUGCCAUGUUCUCCUGUACUCUGCUGGUAGAGAGGGGCUCCUGUCCCCAGGAGUUGCAGCUGUGUGAAUGGCACCUUCUUGCUUCUGGAGAAGCUCAUCCACACCAGCACCUCAUUUGAUUCCCCACCAAUUAGCCCAGAGAGGUGGGCGGCUUGCCCAGGACGCAGCCCAUGGGCAGAGCCGGCGUGGGGCUGCAGAGGCCCUCCUGCCCACUGGACAGGUUACAUCUUCACGGCCUUAUGUUUGGCUUGUUAGGGUUCCUCCUAUUCUAGUUGGUGUGAAAUAAGAGGUGCGUGAUGAGUUGGAGCAUUACUGCAGAAAACAUAGCCCCAUCUUUUCCCUGUGAGGAAUGGGCAUCCCACAGGUCUGAAUUCCCUCUGGGGCCCUGGCUGCAGCUAUGGCUCAAGGUGGAUGCUGUUUGGCCCCACCCGAGCCCUGGGAAGGUGAUGCUCAGGCUCUGCCACCGUCGGCAACACUGAGGAUACGCAGGGAUGAGGUGCCCUGAUUUGGGGAACAUUACCCUUAAGAUACUAGUGUGAUGUCAUUCCACUUCGCAGUGGGGGGCCCCAGCUUUCAGGCCAGCAUUGAGGACAGGAGCCGUUGCCAUGUGAAAAAGUUAUUUUCCCAAACAAUGAACAAUCCUCAUGAUGUCAUGGGCCCUGCCAGAGGCCCAAAUCCAAUCGGUUCUGGUGCUGGGGCAGCCUCCUGUAACACUAUCCUGAGAGGAUGACUCCGCCUGGGUUGGGGACAGAGAGCAGAGAGGCCGGGGGUCUUCAGGUGGGGCCCCUGCAUGUGUCUGCGUUCACAUUUCAAAGUGGCUUUCACUCAGAGGAAGGUGGAGCUUAGCAAAGAAUUGCGCAGAUCAAGGAGCAGCAGAAAUGGGGGCCUCCCCCUGCAGGAGCAGCCCAUGGGUCAGAAGUGGGGCUGGCAUCGGGGUGAGCCAGGACAUCCCAGGAUGGAAGAACUAAAUGAAUGGCCACAGAACGGGGAUCACUGGAGCAGGAAGUGGCCUCCCCCAUGCGCCUUCACGCCUGGCUGAAAUCUAAUCCUCAUUCUUGGGCCCUCAUGUCACGGCCCGGGCCUGGCUUCCCAGCAGCCUGAUGCAGCCAAGCUGUUCCCACUCUUCUCUCUUCCUCCAGAGGAAGGACCUUUGCCGAUGAAGUCAUGGGAAUAAAACCUCCCUCUGCCCUGAAAACAGUGGGACCGUGAAGUCAGCUUGUUGUGUGGCCUCCAGAGGCCCAGGCGGGUAGCCUUCGCUGUUUACUGGGCCUUGCAAGCCCACGACGUCAUCUAAUUUGCAAAUCGUGUGAUUAUCCCCAUUGCACAGAUGAGGAAACUGAGGCUCAGAUCUUGGGAUUGGCCCAAGGUCACAGAGCCAAUAAAUGAAACCACAUCCAGGUCUGGCCCCUACAACUUGAGGUCAGUUGCUCUGGAGAACCUACAGAUUUAGUUCAGUUCAGUGAGCAUUUGUGCAGUUGUGCAGUUCCCAUGACGUGCCGGCACCAGGCCGAGCACUCGGAAUACAUUGUGGCCUCCUGCAUGGGUGUGUGGGCAGUCUCGGGUCUCUCGGGAGACAAUUCUUUCUCACUCCUGCCCAGAGGGUCUCUUGAGUUUUCUGCUAAUUGUCUACAUGUUUUUAAUAGAUUAAUUAAAAUAAUCAUCUUUAGCUCUCCUCUCAGUUGAAUGCAAUGCCAUUUUGGAAAGAAUCACAUUCUUAAAUGUGACUGUGAUCAAAAUCGUCUUGGCUUCUGAGGGAGUCAUGAUGUCUCCUGGGGUUUGUUCCAAACAGGAUACUUCCCCCAUGGAGAUUCCUGUCCUAGUCUACCUCAGUCUCAGUGACAGCCACACACCUGGCUGCCCUGCCACGUACCUGGUGCUGCAGAGUCCGGGAGAAGCAGCCACACUUCAGACCGAUCAGCUGAUACCACGCCGGGCACUGGGGAGGGACGGUGAAUGACACGGCCCCGGAGGUGCAGCAUCUUUCCUGUGUACGUGGCUGUGCCCUCUCUCCUUAAGCCAUUGGCACAUUCUCCAUCCAUACACAUGCUUUCAGCUGGAUCAACUGAUGGCCCAACCAACUGGAGUAGUGGCCUGUAUCCUUCUGUUUUCUUGCUAUAAAGGAAAAUGUGAGGCUGGGUAAUUUACAAAGAAAAGAGGUUUAUUUGGCUCACAGUUCUGCAGGAUGUACAGGAAGCAUAGUGCCAGCAUCUGCUUCUGGUGAGGCCUCAGGAAGCUUCCACUCACGGUGGCAGGGGAAGGGGAGCAGGUGUGUCACACAGUGAGGGAGCAAGGGAGAGCAGGGGAGGUGUCAGGCUCUUUAACGAUCAGCUCUCCGUGAACGCACCAGCGUUACUGCACCAUGCCAUGCCUGAGGGAUCCGCCCCCAUGAUCUAAACGCCUCCCACCAGGCCCAACUCCAACACCAGCGAUCAGACUCAACAGACUCAACAUGAGAUUCGGAGGGGACAGAUCUCCAAGCUAUGUCAUGGUCUAUACUGACUAUGGAAAACUGUCAGGUGACCAGUCCAUUUAAUUACAGUCACAUGAGGGUGUCAAUGGCCUGAUCCCAGCAACCACUGUCCCUGCCUGAAUAGAGAAGAUGCCAGAUAAUAAAAGGGGCCUGUCUGUGAGGUGUUGGAAAACUCAAGUCCGGUGGAAGUGGCUGGAAGCAUGCCUAGGCCCCAGCUUACUUGGGGACCCGGGGGAGCUGAGAUACAGUUGGCAGUGCUGGGCCUGGCUGAGGGCCCUGUGUGCUCACUGAAGGCUGAGGGGCCUCAGUUUACCCAGCAUCCUCUAUGGGAAAGACAACACGCACCUACCUGGAGGACAUGAGCACAUGGGGCCUGGAGGUGGGUUUCGCCCGCACACCCCUGUGGGCAUUUGCACAUGUUCCAAGGCUACGCGCUCCCCUUUCUAGAAGCCCAUAUUAGCCUCAAGCCUUCUAAUGAGUCCUUGCUGUCCUGGAUUUUGAUGAUGGAAGGGGAUACCUUGGCUGCCCUAUGGCUGUCGCUUGGUGAGUGAGUGCAUUAAUGUCCCUUCGUGCAAAGCUCUCAAGUGGGUGACGUGUGCCGGACCUUCUGGCCGCCGUCCUGGUGCCCUGGCCACCUUCUCCACCUGUUCUGUGUCCCCAGGUGGCCACUACAGCCUGUCAAUGGCCUCUCUUCCCUCUGGGUUCUGGUUGGGCUUGGCCUGUAGGAGGCGCUAGUGGGAGACAGGGGGCAGGCCAGAGAGAGAGGGCAGAUGGACUCUGCCACCUCCUCCCAGCUGGACAACAGGGGUGGUGGCUGCGUUCCCCCGCCAAGGCCCUCUCUCAGCAGCUCCCUGGAGUCUGCGUCUGCCCUUUCCCUUCUCCCAAGACGGGGUGGGGGGGGUGGCACUCCCACUGCUGCUGUCCUGGGAUGCCUCUCCAGCCACUGGGCUCCCUUCACCCUGCCCACAGCAUGGGGAGAGGCCGUCGUGAAACUCUCCUUAGCCACUCACCUCAAUACCCAGCAGACGCCCCUUUCCUCCUGGUGCCCUGAAGGCUGCGAUGGCCCCCUGAAUCAGGAGCCCAGCUGAUCGGACGAGGUGCACUUUGGCACCUCAAAGCUGGGAGCCAGGCCCUGGAGAGGCCCACUCCUUCCACCCGAGGACCGCCCAUAUUCCCAUAGGGUGUGCAAGGGUGGACAGCAGGCGUUGCUCUGGCACGCCGCCCUUUUGGCUACUUUGUGAUCAAAGCCAGCCUAUUUUGACAUUUCAUGUCUUCAGUUUUAUUUUUAUUUAUUUUAAAAUAUUCUUGCAGAAA
RNAcentral lists this long non-coding RNA (4971 nucleotides) under Homo sapiens (human). RNAcentral describes it as "HSALNT0309720". Lineage: Eukaryota; Metazoa; Chordata; Mammalia; Primates; Hominidae. The record is from RNAcentral.